CUUUACUGUAACUUGAGACUGAUUUCGGGCUUUAUUUGCGCAGUAUAGGUGGAAGGCGUUGAAAGUAAUCUUGCGGGAUUAGUGGAGCCAUCAGUGAGAUACCACUCCUAUAAUGUUAGAUUUCUAACUUUGGAUCAUGAUCUGGUCAAAGAACAGUUUCAGGCGGGCAGUUUGACUGGGGCGGUCGCCUCCCAAAUGGUAACGGAGGCGUACAAAGGUUUCCUCUGAACGGGUAGAAAUCGUAUCUAGAGUGUAAAGGCAUAAGGAAGCUUGACUGUGAGACCUACAAGUCGAGCAGGGACGAAAGUCGGUCUUAGUGAUCUGACGGUGCUGAGUGGAAAGGCCGUCACUCAACGGAUAAAAGUUA
RNAcentral lists this ribosomal RNA (367 nucleotides) under uncultured organism. RNAcentral's name for it is "bacterial LSU rRNA". It matches the Rfam family "Bacterial large subunit ribosomal RNA", at positions 2099 to 2465 of the family's 2925-position model. The record is from RNAcentral.